RNAcentral lists this unclassified non-coding RNA (1728 nucleotides) under Zea mays. Its description in RNAcentral is "misc RNA Zm00001eb283550". Lineage: Eukaryota; Viridiplantae; Streptophyta; Magnoliopsida; Poales; Poaceae. The record is from RNAcentral.
GGAAGUUGAAGAAAACAGGCCACCCUCUAAAAAGGUUGAAGUAUUAGUUGAGACCAAGAAAGAGGCGAGUAAACCACAAGGGGAAUUGUUUGAAGUGGCAGAAGUGUCAGCAAAAGGGAGGGGUAAGUGGUGUUUUCGAUGCAGGACAAAGGGCCAUGUGUCAGUAGAAUGCACUACAAUCUUGUUUUGCCAAUUGUGUGAAAGUGAUGACCAUGUCGCUGCUAUAUGCCCAAUAAAGAAAAAACCUCGUCCGAUGGCUUACUCGGUGGGUUAUGCGAUGGAUGGUUUGGGCUUCUACCAUAUCCCACAUGGCCCUAUUUCCAUGUCAAAAAAGGAUAAUACUUUGGCUUUGAUCACAGUUAUGGGAGGCGAGCUUAAGGAAGCUGAACUUGUUGCUCAUAUGGAGAGGUUAAUUCCAGGAAAACACGGUUGGGAUGUUCAGUUGCAUGCCCCAAAUACUUGGGUGGCUAAUUUCCCAUCUAAAGCUGAAUUGAAGCAAACUGUAACAUUUGGGUCUGCUGAUCUUAAGAAUGGAUUACUUCUGAAAUUCGAAGAGUUUGAGGAGGAAGAGUAUUGUGGAGAAGAGCUACCAAGGGUGUGGAUGCGUGUAUUAAACCUCCCAAAAGGGUUAAGAACAUAUGAGGUUCUAUGGGCGAUUGGGACGAUGUUUGGUGCCACAACUAAGGUGGAUAUGAUUACUACAAGGAAAAAUACCUUUGGAAGAUUUGAGGUUGCAGUUCUCAAUGCUAGCAUUGUGCCCAAUCAAAUGGAGGUUGUUAUUGGAACUCGUUGGUUUGAGUUGGUUUUUGAGAUAGAAGGAGAAAUUGGUGAAGCUAUGGAACCAAUUACUCAUAGGGAGAAUGGUAAUGAGGGGGAUCAUGGGAAUGCCGAUAGAAGGGACACCACUAUGGAGGAGAAUAACUCCAAAGCAAAAGACACAAAUGGCAAUUCUUGGGCUGCACCUUCCUUUGCUAGCAACAGAAGGGACGUAGGAAAGGGUGUCCAGAUGGACGAUGGUGCUCUGGAUGAUUUUGAUGAGGAUGACCUGCUCGAGGAUGAGGUGAUGGAACAAUCUCCUGCUGUUUCACCAAAAUAUGCAGUCCUUAGUGCUGUUCUUGAUGCAGGCUUAGGUGAGCAGGCCAAACAGCCAUCUGGACAGCAUGACUGUGAGAUGCAGGAGGGCUGUAAUUCAAAGCCUGGGUUGGUGGAGCAUAGCAAAGUGCCUAGGGACGAUUGCAGCAAAAUGAAAGAAGCUACUGCGACUUUGGGACACCAAUUGAAGUGUGAUGGUCAGCAGUCUGACGCCAGCUUUAGCUCUGAAGUUGCUCUUCCAGUGAUACCCAAGCCGGUAAAAGUCCUCAAUAAAAUUUCUGCAGCCUUGCCAAAAAGGAGAAGCAAGAGGCGGGAAGUAGAAGUAGAUGAGGACAUGCUGGAACGUGCGAAAAGAGUGGUGGCGAAGAAAAAUCUUGAUGGACCGGAAGGUCACUUAGAGGGACACAUUGGACAAGGUUCUGGACACUGUUGCAGAAGGAGGAGGACAGACCUCAAGUAAAAUGGGCGUCGUGUGCUUGAAACAACAAUGAUGGAGAUCUUUUCAAAUAAUGGAUGGUCUUUUUUUCAUAGAUUGAGAGCAUAGUUUGAGAGCUUAAAUUUAUGAAACCUUUGUAGAAUGUAAGAUUUCGUUCCAAUGUGGAACCCCAUGUUUGUGAGUUUGACAGCCGAAUGUAU